This 253-nucleotide ribosomal RNA is filed under the name uncultured bacterium. RNAcentral's name for it is "partial 16S ribosomal RNA". It matches the Rfam family "Bacterial small subunit ribosomal RNA", at positions 524 to 776 of the family's 1533-position model. The record is from RNAcentral.
UACGUAGGGCGCAAGCGUUGUCCGGAAUUAUUGGGCGUAAAGAGCUCGUAGGCGGCUUGUCACGUCGGGUGUGAAAGCCCGGGGCUUAACCCCGGGUCUGCAUUCGAUACGGGCUAGCUAGAGUGUGGUAGGGGAGAUCGGAAUUCCUGGUGUAGCGGUGAAAUGCGCAGAUAUCAGGAGGAACACCGGUGGCGAAGGCGGAUCUCUGGGCCUUACCUGACGCUCAGGCGCGAAAGCUAGGGGAGCGAACUGG